AACGAACGCUGGCGGCAUGCCUAACACAUGCAAGUCGAACGGUAACAGCAAGCAGCUUGCUGCUUCGCUGCCGAGUGGCGGGCGGGUGAGACAUGUGUGGGGAACUGCUUGCUGGAGGGGGAUCACUACUGGCAACGGUAGCUAAUACCGCAUAACGUCGGCAGACCAAAGGGGGGGAGCUUAGUGCCUCUUGUCGUCGGGUGUGCGCAGGUGGGAUUAGCGAGUAGGUGGGGUAAUGGCUCACCUAGGCGCCGGACUCUAGCUGGUCUGGGAGGGAGACCAGCCACACGGGAACUGAGACACGGUCCAGACGCCUGCGGUAGGCAGCAGUGGGGAAUAUUGCGCAAUGGGCGCGAGCCUUAUACAGCCAUGCCGCGUGUAUGAAGAAGGCGUUCGGGUUGGAAAGUACUUUCUGCGGUGGGGAAGGGAGUAAAGUUAAUACCUUGGGUCAGUGACGGUACCGGGAGAAGAAGCACCGGCUAACUCCGUG
Molecule: ribosomal RNA, 490 nt
Filed under: uncultured bacterium
Lineage: Bacteria
Description: partial 16S ribosomal RNA
Rfam family: Bacterial small subunit ribosomal RNA
Source: RNAcentral